GACGAACGCUGGCGGCGUGCUUAACACAUGCAAGUCGAACGGUAAGGCCCUUCGGGGUACACGAGUGGCGAACGGGUGAGUAACACGUGGGUGAUCUGCCCUGCACUUCGGGAUAAGCCUGGGAAACUGGGUCUAAUACCGGAUAGGACAACUGCCUGCAUGGGUGGUGGUGGAAAGCUUUUGCGGUGUGGGAUGGGCCCGCGGCCUAUCAGCUUGUCGGUGGGGUGAUGGCCUACCAAGGCGACGGCGGGUAGCCGGCCUGAGAGGGUGACCGGCCACAGUGGGACUGCGAUACGGCCCAGGAUCCUACGGGAGGCAGCAGUGGGGAAUAUUGCACAAUGGGCGCAAGCCUGAUGGAGCGACGCCGCGUGUGGGAUGACGGCCUUCGGGUUGUAAACCUCUUUCAGCACCGACGAAGCGCAAGUGACGGUAGGUGCAGAAGAAGGACCGGCCAACUACGUGCCAGCCGCCGCAGUAA
This 478-nucleotide ribosomal RNA is filed under the name uncultured bacterium. Its description in RNAcentral is "partial 16S ribosomal RNA". It matches the Rfam family "Bacterial small subunit ribosomal RNA", at positions 28 to 523 of the family's 1533-position model. The record is from RNAcentral.